Molecule: small nucleolar RNA, 104 nt
Organism: Ziziphus jujuba (common jujube)
Lineage: Eukaryota; Viridiplantae; Streptophyta; Magnoliopsida; Rosales; Rhamnaceae
Product: small nucleolar RNA R30/Z108
Exons: 1
Source: RefSeq, a predicted model, not a curated record
AGUUGUUGCAAUGAGGAUGAAAAAGCUCCCUCUUCUGAAAAUGAAGUCGAGGAAGAUUGCUGGCAGAAUCGAACCUAAAAAAAUCUACAGCCACUUCUGAGAAA